This is a long non-coding RNA of Alosa sapidissima (American shad), 825 nucleotides long. RefSeq lists it as uncharacterized. The record is from RefSeq and is a predicted model, not a curated record. NCBI's taxonomy places the organism in Eukaryota, Metazoa, Chordata, Actinopteri, Clupeiformes, Clupeidae. The transcript has 3 exons.
UGAUCAGGGAGGUGUGUGUCGGGAGGCGCCAGGAGAGGCUGAGUUCGGCUGGUUCUCUGGAGUUCACCUGUGCCACAGGGGCGAUGGGGAGCUUGCAGGUGAUGAGGAAGCGGUUGGCAUGUGAAAGGUCUGAUGGUGUGGGCCGGGCGUGAUACCUGCAGGAGUCGUGCAGAGGGGCCAGGAUGGGCACACGUGGGCUGCCCUGGGCUGUGCAAGGCAGUGGGGCAGACGCUUUGCUGCUGGACCGGUUCGGAGCUGAUGGUCCAUGAGCUUGAUAGUGCUAAAAGACAAGGGCUCUUGCAGUGAAUGUGAAGAAUAUCACACAUCACAGUCUACACAUCUACACUGUUUGACAAUCAAUGGACACAUAGAUCAGAGAUGGACUUCAUGGAGAUCCUUUUAACAUGGACAUCCUUUUAACACAUCUAUCAUAUAGAUACAGCUAAUUGUCAUCAAGGUCCUGAGUCAUAUAGAACCGUAUGACCCAGAGAGCAAGGGCUGGUGGACCAUUGCCGGCCCACUGGGGCAGAUCUGUUGGUCUGCUGACAUUUUGCUCAGUGGUUUUCCUGCGAUCCACUGAUGGGUUGCUGACAAACGCCCCACCGCCAAUUAUGGUCCAAUUUCUUUUUUUAUUCAUUCAGUUUUUUCUCUUAAUAUUCACAAGUUAAAAUAAAGGUGAUGAUGGCCCAACAGUGGCUCAGAAGUGGUACACCUCCGGCGGCUAGCCACUGAGCAUCCAAUAUCUGCAACUCUGAUUUUGCUAUUUGGGUGUGUUGUAGAUGUUUAGAUAGGUUCUUUAUUGUGUACAAACAAACUAUUAAAGAU